This 429-nucleotide ribosomal RNA is filed under the name Chloroflexota bacterium. Its description in RNAcentral is "Chloroflexi bacterium partial 16S ribosomal RNA". It matches the Rfam family "Bacterial small subunit ribosomal RNA", at positions 355 to 776 of the family's 1533-position model. Lineage: Bacteria; Bacillati; Chloroflexota. The record is from RNAcentral.
UGGGGAAUAUUGCACAAUGGGCGCAAGCCUGAUGCAGCCAUGCCGCGUGUAUGAAGAAGGCCUUCGGGUUGUAAAGUACUUUCAGCGGGGAGGAAGGGAGUAAAGUUAAUACCUUUGCUCAUUGACGUUACCCGCAGAAGAAGCACCGGCUAACUCCGUGCCAGCAGCCGCGGUAAUACGGAGGGUGCAAGCGUUAAUCGGAAUUACUGGGCGUAAAGCGCACGCAGGCGGUUUGUUAAGUCAGAUGUGAAAUCCUCGGGCUCAACCUGGGAACAGCAUCUGAUACUGGCAAGCUUGAGUCUCGUAGAGGGGGGUAGAAUUCCAGGUGUAGCGGUGAAAUGCGUAGAGAUCUGGAGAAAUACCGGUGGCGAAGGCGGCCCCCUAGACGAAAACUGACGCUCAGGUGCGAAAGCGUGGGAAGCAAACAGG